AUGGCUGUCGUCAGCUCGUGUCGUGAGAUGUUGGGUUAAGUCCCGCAACGAGCGCAACCCUUGUCCUAUGUUGCCAGCGGGUAAUGCCGGGGACUCGUAGGAGACUGCCGGGGUCAACUCGGAGGAAGGUGGGGAUGACGUCAAGUCAUCAUGCCCCUUAUAUCUAGGGCUGCAAACAUGCUACAAUGGCUGGUACAACGGGCUGCAAUACCGCGAGGUGGAGCAAAUCCCUUAAAGCCAGUCUCAGUUCGGAUUGGAGUCUGCAACUCGACUCCAUGAAGUCGGAGUCGCUAGUAAUCCCGGAUCAGCUACGCCGGGGUGAAUACGUUCCCGGGCCUUGUACACACCGCCCGUCACACCACGAAAGUCGGCAACACCCGAAGUCAGUGGCCCAACCCGCAAGGGAGGGAGCUGCCGAAGGUGGGGUUGGUGAUUGGGGUGAAGUCGUAACAAGGUAGCCGUACCGGAAGGUGCGGCUGGAUCACCUCCUUUCUAAGGAGCAUCCGAGUAACUCACUCGGAGCACCUGUUGAGGCACUGGCUAGUUUGAUUUGUCCGGAGUGAUCGAUACUCGAGUUCGCUCGUAUCGACCGCAAAGGCAGGUCGUUCCAUCCUCUCUUCCGUUUUGAGGGAACGAGACGUUCUCUCACCCAAUCGAGCUUGUGCGCGAGUACCCGUAUUCGAAACUCGCCCGCUCGAUGUCGCCCUUUGAGAAUUGCAUAGCGAACACGAGCAUCUUUCUUCCAAUUAUUUAAGAUUUCCAAGCUACAAAGAGCCAACGGCGGAUGCCUUGGCGUCUACUACCGACGAAGGACGCGGGAGGCUGCGAUAAGCCACGGGGAGCUGCCUACCAAGCGCGGAUCCGUGGAUGUCCGAAUGGGGAAACCCGG
RNAcentral lists this small RNA (889 nucleotides) under uncultured Acidimicrobiales bacterium. Its description in RNAcentral is "bacterial SSU rRNA". The stretch from base 1 to 492 matches the Rfam family "Bacterial small subunit ribosomal RNA", at positions 1045 to 1533 of the family's 1533-position model. Lineage: Bacteria; Bacillati; Actinomycetota; Acidimicrobiia; Acidimicrobiales. The record is from RNAcentral.